AAGUCGUAACAAGGUUUGAUGAGACGAGAUCGUCCUCGGAAGCCUUUGCCACAACGACUCUAACCAUGUGGUACAGUCUGAAAGUGAUUCUUUCCAGGCGACGUCGCCCCUGUGCUGGGACCCUGUAAUUUAAGUUAUGGCGGACCAGCAGCCAGUGUUCUGGUUCACAGAUUAAGUGGUGGCGGUCUCGGUUGGUUGAGCUGCGAUCAAGAUAUAAUCGGUUCUCUAUCUCUAUUUAUAGAGGUGACAUGUUCCGUAGGUGAACCUGCGGAAGGAUCAUUA
This 282-nucleotide ribosomal RNA is filed under the name Willeya laevigata. RNAcentral's name for it is "partial small subunit ribosomal RNA". The record is from RNAcentral. Lineage: Eukaryota; Fungi; Ascomycota; Eurotiomycetes; Verrucariales; Verrucariaceae.